Molecule: ribosomal RNA, 406 nt
Filed under: uncultured bacterium
Lineage: Bacteria
Description: partial 16S ribosomal RNA
Rfam family: Bacterial small subunit ribosomal RNA
Source: RNAcentral
AUUGAACGCUGGCGGCAGGCCUAACACAUGCAAGUCGAACGAGUGGCGGACGGGUGAGUAAUGUCUGGGAAACUGCCCGAUGGCGGGGGAUAACUACUGGAAACGGUAGCUAAUACCGCAUACCAUCGGAUGUGCCCAGAUGGGAUUAGCUAGUAGGUGGGGUAAAGGCUCACCAAGGCGACGAUCGGUAGCUGGUCUGAGAGGACGACCAGCCACACUGGGACUGAGACACGGCCCAGACUCCGACGGGAGGCAGCAGUGGGGAAUUUUGGACAAUGGGGGCAACCCUGAUCCAGCCAUGCCGCGUGCAGGAUGAAGGUCUUCGGAUUGUAAACUGCUUUUGGCAGGGAAGCGGUACCUGAAGAAUAAGCACCGGCUAACUACGUGCCAGCAGCCGCGGUAAUUC